Molecule: ribosomal RNA, 467 nt
Filed under: uncultured bacterium
Lineage: Bacteria
Description: partial 16S ribosomal RNA
Rfam family: Bacterial small subunit ribosomal RNA
Source: RNAcentral
ACGCACGCUGGCGGCGUGCUUAACACAUGCCAGUCGAACGGAAAGGCCCUGCUUUUGUGGGGUGCUCGAGUGGCGAACGGGUGAGUAACACGUGAGUAACCUGCCCUUGACUUUGGGAUAACUUCAGGAAACUGGGGCUAAUACCGGAUAGGAGCUCCUGCUGCAUGGUGGGGGUUGGAAAGUUUCGGCGGUUGGGGAUGGACUCGCGGCUUAUCAGCUUGUUGGUGGGGUAGUGGCUUACCAAGGCUUUGACGGGUAGCCGGCCUGAGAGGGUGACCGGCCACAUUGGGACUGAGCUACGGCCCAGACUCCUACGGGAGGCAGCAGUGGGGAAUAUUGCACAAUGGGCGGAAGCCUGAUGCAGCAACGCCGCGUGCGGGAUGACGGCCUUCGGGUUGUAAACCGCUUUCGCCUGUGACGAAGCGUGAGUGACGGUAAUGGGUAAAGAAGCACCGGCUAACUACGUG